This 395-nucleotide RNase P RNA is filed under the name Chloroflexota bacterium. Its description in RNAcentral is "Chloroflexi bacterium (cold seep metagenome) RNase P RNA component class A". It matches the Rfam family "Bacterial RNase P class A". Rfam says of the family: Ribonuclease P (RNase P) is a ubiquitous endoribonuclease, found in archaea, bacteria and eukarya as well as chloroplasts and mitochondria. Its best characterised activity is the generation of mature 5'-ends of tRNAs by cleaving the 5'-leader elements of precursor-tRNAs. Cellular RNase Ps are ribonucleoproteins. Lineage: Bacteria; Bacillati; Chloroflexota. The record is from RNAcentral.
CAAGUAAAUCGGGUGACCGCUGCAUACUGAACGUAUGGAGAGGAAAGUCCGAGCUCCGCCGAGCAAGGUGCUGGGUAACACCCAGGAGGGGCGACCCUACGGAAAGUGCCACAGAAACAUACCGCUCCUGUUUUUGGAGCAAGGGUGAAAUGGUGAGGUAAGAGCUCACCAGCAACUAGGUGACUGGUUGGCUGGGUAAACCCCACCCGGAGCAAGACCGAAUAGAAGGGCGCUUGAGGUGCUCGGCCGAUGCCCUCGGGUUGGUCGCUUGACCCCGAUGGUAACAUCGGGGCUAGAUGGAUGGUCACCACCCUGAAAGCCGCCCACCGAAAUUUCUGGUUUCGGUGGGAACCCGCGACAGGGUACAGAACUCGGCUUACAGAUUUACUUGCCCC